Saimiri boliviensis boliviensis (Bolivian squirrel monkey) is the source of this 1828-nucleotide long non-coding RNA. The record is from Ensembl. NCBI's taxonomy places the organism in Eukaryota, Metazoa, Chordata, Mammalia, Primates, Cebidae.
AUGGGAAGAUGGAGAUGGAUGUUGAGGGAGUUUCUCCGCGCCCGGAGCCCAUCCCCCGCUCCCAAGGGGUUGGCGGAGCCUGCCAGGCGCCGCCACAGCCGCCCCAGCCCCAGCUGCCGCCGCAGCCGCUGGCUCAGGAUGAACUGCCCGGCGAGAGUGCCGGCGCUGAGGACAGCGACGAUCCCGAGACGAGACCCAACGGCGAGAAAGGAGAGAGCAAGAGAUACCAUGGACUUUAAGGUGAUGAAUACCACAAUGAGCUCACUACAAGAUCUCAAAGAUUCCAAGCCACUGGCUAUUCCAAAGCAUAAAGCCACCCUUCAGGAGAAGCGUUGGGAGGCAGGCUGAGGGGAGGCCCUGAGUUUUUGCCAGAGGAUGGAUCACCCCUUUGGGUGUCCUGGGAGCCACUGAAGCAUAGUGAGGAAGGUGUUGCAGAUGCACAGGACAGAAACCCAGAAACUGGAACCAACAGGCACCUAAAGUUGACUCGCACCCAGCAUCCCUGCAGACUGAUGUUCUCUGAGCUGUAGUUCUUCACUGGACUGUUUUUCCUUUGCUAUCACCUGCCUAACACAUAGUGCUGGAUGCUUUUGACUGGUUGGAUUUCUUUUUUUUUUUUCCUGUAUUUUUUCUUUCCUUGAUUCUGGGAAUUAUAAAAAAAAAAUUGCUUUAAAAAGUAUUAUUCUGUGCUGAAAUUAGCCUUGUUUAUGAAGAAGUUUUAUCCCUAGGGAUUUCCUGAAUUGCAGCCCCAGGUUACCUGGUAAAUAGGGCUGUGUUGUUUGAUUUGUAUAGUACUGAUCUGUAGGUUAAAAUACAUUUCCUUUCUUUUGUUUCAUUCUUUUUUUAAAAAGUUUGGAUCCAGGUAGUGGCCUGAGUCACAUUUGCUUAGCUACUGAAGCGAUCUCAACGUGGUAUCGCUUAGAUUUGAAACAUAAUCAAACAUACAUUAUACCUGAGGCUCUUGCACACUAUUUGACGUAUAUGUUACACUACAAAGAAACACAAACCUUGUGGCUUGAAAUUUAAUUCCUGUUUGAUCCUGCAGCUAGAAUGCUAAAGAAAUUGUAAAUAUCAAAAGUGGCUUCAAAUACCCUGAAUGUAAGCUAGUCAACAGUAAGUGGAUGGUUUCAGAAUACCAUUUUCUAAGACAAAGCAGGAAUUAGAGAUCUACUGCCCACAUCCACAAUGUUGCUCAGGUCUGUCUGUGGAUCUGUCCAUUUUGGAGUAAAGAACAAGGCAUGCUUCUGUGAUUGUGCUUACGAAAACUGUGGUGUUUCCGAUUUAUGUUUUGUAAUUGUGCCUGCCUUGCAAUAAAACACCUUCAGUUGACUCAGCAAUAAGGUCUCUGUCAAUUUCCUGCAAAACUGUGUCUUUAGUAGCUUUCUAAGAAAGUCCAGUGUAGACCUAUCAGUGGUUGACCUGUUAGACAUUUCAGCUGGACCUAGCAUUAUUGCUCUUUCAGAAAUAGCACCAGAGCUGUCCAUUGUCUACACAUGUGGUCAGUUAUAUGGUCAGCUUCUCAAUUUUUCUUAUUACCAUCAGCUACAGAAAUCUCUAGUCACAGCCUAACCCUGUUACGUAGAUGUGCGGCCAUCUGCCAUCGUGUUCUAACUCUGGAGUCCCUAUUUAUUUCUGAGACUCUAGGACAAGCCAAAAACCCUCUGGACCUCAGUGUCUUCAUAAACAAAAUGGGGAUAAUGAUACUUCCUGUGAUUGUGGUGAUAAGUGCCUGUAAAAGGGCAUUACAUAGAUGGUACUUUGAACAUUGUAAAUUCAUUUGGAUGUGGCAAUACUCAAUGAAUGGUGGCUAUUUUAUUUGUUAAUAAAG